Long non-coding RNA from Brachypodium distachyon (stiff brome), 1778 nucleotides. RefSeq lists it as uncharacterized. The record is from RefSeq and is a predicted model, not a curated record. NCBI's taxonomy places the organism in Eukaryota, Viridiplantae, Streptophyta, Magnoliopsida, Poales, Poaceae. The transcript has 2 exons.
GAAAAAAAAGGUCUUUGCCCGUGGGCGCGGCAGCAGAGGUCGGCCGGCCGUGAAUGUGCCUGCCACCACCAGUCCACCACGGGGAGAAGACUAGCGAGGGAGCGCUUUCAACCGGCGGUCGUCUGUCACGCUGCCGCUGGCCUGCACUGCACUGCAUGCCUGCGCCGCCCAGCCUUUCUGACCGCCCCUUGCUAGCUGCUGUUGCCGCUGCAUGUGCGUCUCGCCAGUGCUGCACGCCCGCAGCGCACAGGCAGGAGCAUCAGGAGACAACGCAGCCAGAGACGUCGCUGGCCCCGGAUGCUGCUGCUCGCUUCCGUCCCAGCGUUUAGAUGCAUGCCUUGUGCUGGACUGCUGGCGAUGAUGGGGGAAGGAGAACAGAAGAUUAGUACGAUUACGUGCCCACCUUCACGUGUGCGUUAACCGGGCACACGUGUACGGUGUUACCGACGAUCCUGACCAUCCAUGCGAUUACGCAAGCGAAGCAGCAGCUGCUCGAUCUUUUUGACCGUUGAUGACGGUCCCAGCUGCUAUGAGCUGCUCCACGGAUUAACCGGCUGUAGCACAAUGGUGGUGGAUACACGGUCCCUGCUCCUGAGUCGCCGGCAAGAGCCAGCCGGUCCGAUGCACUGCAACGGGGAAGGCCUUCAACUCUUCAUCAUGAUUCAUGACAGGGUCGCCUGGCCUCCUCCCCUCCAGCCAGGUCAGGCCGGCCGAUCGAUCUGAGCGUGGCAAUUAUUGUGAGGGGCACGCACUGUUCCGCCCCUGCACUCCGCACGCUGGCCGGUCUGUGUGCGCUCCUCUUCAAAGCUUCAACCCCACCGCCCAACUCUAGCUCGAUCCGUAGCGGGUGUCUGUUAAAUUUGCUAAUCGAUCGCCCGACCGAUUCAGCCGUCGUACGUAGAUAGCACAGGCACAGCGUCAGCGUGAUCCCCCUUCGAUAUUUUUCCCUUUUAAAAAUGGAGUUUUAGUGGCACACUGCAUCGACGCAGAAAUAUCAGCUAGUACGUCUGAUAUGGCUGCAGUGGGCGUGACAAAGCGCUGCACGUACACACUUGCUCCCUGCACGGUGCAUGCAGGGAAGGAGAAGGGAUAGAGGGAGAGGAGCUGGAGAGGCACGAGAACGGGUACAUGACUGGAGAAUGGCGGGCGGGUCAGCGAAGCCAAACAAGCCACCUUCGCUCUCCAGCUGACCAGACUGACAUAACGGAACCUGUUUGCUGCUUGCGUCGGGGACAGACACGACAUGUGCGACCACUGAUCGGUCAUCAGUCCGUGCUCUGGCGCUGACGAGGAUAAUGGCACUUCGUUGAGGCUCUUGCUUGUGGGAGGAGAUUGGGAAGAAGAGCAAACAGCAAAGUGUAGGGCUGGAGGCGAGCAGAGCUACCUUGGAUUUGAUCGUGUGGUUUGCGAUCUUCUGACGGGGGGAAAUGGCUUUCUUUUCUUCUUCCGGAAGAGCAGAGAGUAGUGGCUGCUUUUGGCGCCAUCAUGUAUCGAGCCAUGCAUGCUCGAAUCAUGCACGCCGUUUUAAAAAACAACGGCAGACGCAUAUGCAUACGCGUUCUCUCGUCAAGUCAAUUUCUCAUAGCGCGUUGCCGGUUUGUUCGCGUUGAGAUUUCCUUUUUCAGAUUUACCAGAGAGCUUUACUUAUAAAUAAUGUUGCAAAUGAAUUUAUGUUUAUGUACAUUCAUUGAAGUAGAGGCUGACGAUGGGCAAUGUUGUCUGGCGGGUUGAACGGGGAUUGCCAUCUUGUUCUGGAUCCAGAUUGAGAUUGGCUUAAA